GUCGAUGGCCGUGGACGCAGCAGGGCCCCGCGGUCUGCGUGCGGGCAGGCGCUCGUGGGCGUGUCUCCCUGGCCCACGCGUGUCCCCGGCAUCAGUGUCUCGGCUCUGGUCCAGGACGAAGACUUCUGAAAGCAAGCCAAGGAGAAUCGCAGUUCUUACCGGAGGGAGCCCCUGACUGCCCGGUGGAAGGAGGUGGUUUAGAAGACAGUGAGUUGAUCUGGGGGCAAAGCAAAGCAUCGGUAGUGCCUUCCAUCCCCUCACUUUACACUGCAUGGCUGUCUUCUCCCACGCAUGAAGCAACAUGGCCAAGUGAAGCUGCAACCAGUAAAGUCACAGGAUGUUUCUUGGCUUCAAACCAUUUGGAUAAGCGAUGUCAGCAAGCUUCGCCGCUGUAAAGUCACCUCUUUAUAAGAAGACAGGAGCUCUUUGUAAAGAAUAUGAGACCUGAGGCUGGGGGAUGGCUGAGAAGGGAAAAGCACCUCUGCACAGGUGUGAGGAAAGGAGUUUGUUCUUCCAAAUCCAUGUAGAAAUCUUGAUGCUGUGUCAUGAAUCCCAGCACUCCUACGGGAAGAUGGGAGGCGGAGGCAGGAGUUCAUCUGGAAGCUUGAGGCCAGCCACCCAGAUCCUCAGAGCUGCAGACAAAAGAGAGGCCCUGCAGCAAAAGCGUGGAAGGUGAGAACCAACUCCGGAAAGUUGCCCUCUGACCUUUACAAGUGUAUAUGUCCACAUACAGACAAUAAAAUCAAUUGCUUCACUU
This 757-nucleotide long non-coding RNA is filed under the name Mus caroli (Ryukyu mouse). Its description in RNAcentral is "lncRNA (MGP_CAROLIEiJ_G0006706.1)". Lineage: Eukaryota; Metazoa; Chordata; Mammalia; Rodentia; Muridae. The record is from RNAcentral.